RNAcentral lists this ribosomal RNA (800 nucleotides) under Streptomyces sp. D209. RNAcentral describes it as "bacterial SSU rRNA". It matches the Rfam family "Bacterial small subunit ribosomal RNA", at positions 39 to 853 of the family's 1533-position model. Lineage: Bacteria; Bacillati; Actinomycetota; Actinomycetes; Kitasatosporales; Streptomycetaceae. The record is from RNAcentral.
GCGGCGUGCUUACACAUGCAAGUCGAACGAUGAAAUCACUUCGGUGGUGGAUUAGUGGCGAACGGGUGAGUAACACGUGGGCAAUCUGCCCUUCACUCUGGGACAAGCCCUGGAAACGGGGUCUAAUACCGGAUACCACUCUGUCCCGCAUGGGACGGGGUUGAAAGCUCCGGCGGUGAAGGAUGAGCCCGCGGCCUAUCAGCUUGUUGGUGGGGUAAUGGCCUACCAAGGCGACGACGGGUAGCCGGCCUGAGAGGGCGACCGGCCACACUGGGACUGAGACACGGCCCAGACUCCUACGGGAGGCAGCAGUGGGGAAUAUUGCACAAUGGGCGAAAGCCUGAUGCAGCGACGCCGCGUGAGGGAUGACGGCCUUCGGGUUGUAAACCUCUUUCAGCAGGGAAGAAGCGCAAGUGACGGUACCUGCAGAAGAAGCGCCGGCUAACUACGUGCCAGCAGCCGCGGUAAUACGUAGGGCGCAAGCGUUGUCCGGAAUUAUUGGGCGUAAAGAGCUCGUAGGCGGCUUGUCACGUCGGAUGUGAAAGCCCGGGGCUUAACCCCGGGUCUGCAUUCGAUACGGGCUAGCUAGAGUGUGGUAGGGGAGAUCGGAAUUCCUGGUGUAGCGGUGAAAUGCGCAGAUAUCAGGAGGAACACCGGUGGCGAAGGCGGAUCUCUGGGCCAUUACUGACGCUGAGGAGCGAAAGCGUGGGGAGCGAACAGGAUUAGAUACCCUGGUAGUCCACGCCGUAAACGUUGGGAACUAGGUGUUGGCGACAUUCCACGUCGUCGGUGCCGCAGCU